UGUAUGAGUUGUGWUUGGGWUGUUUUUGCUGGCUGGCUCCAUGCUCUUGCAUCGAACGGUUGGCAUGCAACUCGGUUUCAGUACACCCCGCACUCAGAUGCGGCGGUGCGUUGCCCCGGUUCCUGUGUUGCCUACCUCUCGAACGGUACUCGCGUGGCUUGUCGGGUUGGUCCAUCCAGUUCCCCCCCGAGGGGAUCUGGGGGAUUUCGAAGCGAUACACAUGCUCCACCCUAGCUCUCGUGAUUGAAGCAAUUGUGGCGCACAUGUAUCCGCUGCUCUCUCGGAUGCGGUGCAUGAGAUGAAACAUGGGAAAGAAACCUUCCCAUCCAGUCCCUCAAAUCUCGGUUGCCUCGAAUGACACUUGCCUUCCGUGCUUGCUUGCUCCCCUCUCGCGGCCGCACGCAAGCACCGAUGCGCAAAGAUGUUAAUGGACG
This 434-nucleotide unclassified non-coding RNA is filed under the name Lotus tetragonolobus (winged pea). RNAcentral's name for it is "partial external transcribed spacer". The record is from RNAcentral. Lineage: Eukaryota; Viridiplantae; Streptophyta; Magnoliopsida; Fabales; Fabaceae.